AACAGUUUUGAGCAACCAGUCCUUGACCCUCCAGCAGAACUACAACCAGCCAUUAUAAAGCAGUUUAUAGUUGUUACAUUACAUUACAGGUCAUUUAGCAGACGCUUUUAUCCAAAGCGACUUACAUUACAUUUUAAACCCAUGGCUUUUUCACAUUUUUGCCCGGGGAGCAAUUAGGGGUUAGGUGUCUUGCUCAGGGACACUUCGACAUGGAACAUGGGGCAGCCUGGAAUCGAACCAACAACCUUGUGCUUCAAAGCACACCUUCUCUAACCCCUGCGCCACGACGACCCGUUUGUUAAUGUUGUGGGUACGGCAUUCAAACAUGUCCUUGCACAAGUUUCCUGGCUUCAUCCCCACCCGGACAGACAUUUUUAUGGAAAGCCAAUAGAAGUUUGGGGCUUGCAGGGAACAGACACGUCAUACCCAGCAUCAUUUCUGCCAGUUGAGCGCAUUGCUAGAAGAUGUGUGGUUAAUACAUCCUCCGUGCAUUUAAGUAAGACCAAAGAAAAGGUCACUGUAGUCCUGCCACUAUGCACUGUAGUUGAGCUCUAGGAGACUGUGAUCUCUGCAGACCCCUCAUGCUGAUUCAUAUGUUGUUUGCAUCGAAUGCUCAUUUUACCUUGAUUAAAACUCAUUUUUUAAAGAAGUUAUUCUGUGUAUCUUUUUUACAUAACAUUUGCCAUUGCUAAUGGCGUACACAGUAAUCUAGCAUAUUUGAAUUAAAUAAAUCAAUUCAAGAUAAAAUGUAAGAGUCUAUAAUUAGGCUACUGAGCCUGAUCUAUUUGUACCAGAGAUUUUCUUACCUUUUAAAAAAAUGUCACCUGGGCUAAAACUCCCUCCCUGAUUUGCAUUUGUAUAGCUCACAGCAUUUUCAUUUACAUGUCAAAACCUCCCCUGGAAUUAGGAGGAGGGGGGUCAUGGGGGGACAACUGCCAAGGGAGGCCCAGAUCAAUUUCUGACAAUUUACGGCAGUUUUUGGCGUUGCCCGCAAAUUGCCGUGAACAGCCGUAAACUCGAAAUUCCACGACAAUCUACAGUGCCGCAUACUGCCGAAAAUCCCACUUUUCAUGCAGUGCCAGGGAGGAAGAGGGCGCAGGUGAAGACCAGUGGGUCGGUCUGGUGGGUGAAGAGCUGGAUGCGAGUGUGGGGAUAGGUGAGGCCCAGCCGGUUGGUCAGAUGGGUGAGGGGGUGACUGUGGGGACGGGUAAGGCCCAGCCGGUCGGUCAGGAGGGUGAGAGGGUGACUGUGGAGAUGGGUGGGCCCAGCUGGUCGGUCAGGUGAGGAUGAGUGAGGCCCAGCAGGUUGGUCAGGUGAGUGAGGGGGUGAGUGUGGGGAUGGGUGAGGCCAAACCUGUCGGUCAGGGGGGUGGAUGGGAAGUUGAAUGUAGCCCAGUGGGCAGUGGUUGUGUGUGACAGAGUGAAAGAGGGGAUGGGGGUCCAUCAGGAAGGUGAAGGAGCUCGGGGAGCACUCGUUGGUGGGGGUACUGUUCGAGGUGGAAUCUCGGAUAGUGAGGAGGAUAUAGAGGAGGAGGGGUGGGCUUUAAGGUCCCCCCACCUGAAGAGGAAGAUGAGGGCCAGCAGGGGAGGCUCUCAGGCAAAGAGGGGGGGGCGGCGAGCAGAGGGGAGGUGGGGAGUCAGAGUCCUCUUCAGGGUGGGGCUCUGCCACCAGCUUCUCCUCAGGUGGGACAGUCACCAGCAGGUACGGGACGGGGCAGGUGAAAGCGUUCCUGCUGGCCACCAAGAACGAGAGAGGAGUGCAGCUGGAGGACUACUUCUCGAACGUGGUGCUGCUUUUAUGGUAAAUUCGGGAGCUGGGCUGAGUCGACCGAUCCCUGUGCAGCAAGGGAUAAUCUCAGGGCAACUAUACAGCCUUGCUUUUGAGCCGCUGCUGUGCAGGCUGAGAAGUCCGCUCGUUGGUCUCUCACUGCCUGUGUCCUCUAGCAUUUGUCGUCCCAUCGCUGUGUCAGCGAAUGCUGAUGAUGUAAACAUCUUCAUGGGAGAACAGGGAGAUGUCCUUAGCCUACAGGAUGCUUUGUCACUUUAUGAGAAGGCCUCAACUGCACGGGUGAACUGGGAAAGAUCUGAUGCUUUGUUGGUGGGACAGUGGAGACAGCAGAUGGUGCCUCACCUGCCAGGGGGGCUUUAGUGGGAGAAAGAAGGACUAAAAGUGUUGGGUGUGUUUUGGGGCUCUGAGGAUUAUCAGAAAAAGAAUUGGGAGGGAAGUACGGAGAAGGUGUGUGCUCAGUUUGCUAGGUGAAGAUGGCUGCUUCCCCAGCUGUCAUAUAGGGAGUUCUGGUUGCUAACAACUUGGUUGCCUCGAAUCUUUGGCAGAGGCGUAUUGCACUAACACUACCAGGAGGCCUAAUAGGAGAGAUACAAACGUCUGUAGUGGACUUCUUCUGGUCCGGCCAUCACUGGGCUCGUGCAGCAGCUCUCUACCUACCGGUGGCGGAGGGAGGACAGGGUCUUAUUGAUAUACAGUCAAGAAUCGCAUCUUUCAGACUCCGGACUGCACAGUAGCUGCUAUAUGGCUGUGGCCCUAGCUGGUUGGACACUGCUCGACUGCUGCUGAGGAGAGCUGGACGGUGGGGAUACGAUAAGCAGCUUUUUCUUCUACAGUCUUGGACUUGGCCGGGCUGACGCCAUUCUACAGCUCCGUUCUGCAGGCAUGGCAAGUUUUUAGCAUCUCACGGGAAGCUGGUGAGACUCCGGGCGUGUGGCUGUUGGAGGAGCCUUUGUUCUUCAACAGCUUCAUAAGGACCCAAACGCUGCAGUCUGCAAGCAUGCGAACGCGACUAAGAGAAGCAGGCUGAACCAAAUUGGGACACUCUGUGAAGAUGCUUCAACAGCAUCAGCCAUGGUCACGUUCAGGCAGAACGCCAACAUCACGUCUGCUAGGUUGACCAACAAGUUAGUGGAGGAGGUCUGCGAUGUGCUGCCACAACACCUGAGAGCAGCCGCAGAAAACUGUGCUCUGUCUGACCAGCGGGAUGAAGAGAGUGAGUACACCCCCCCCCCCCAGCUCUCUUUGAACUUUUGAAGGGAUGGUUUCAGGGCCUUGGAGAGGGUUUUUCUUUUGCCUUAUUUAUUUUCGGUCCAAAAUACUGUAAAAAAGAAAUGGCUGCCCACACAAUGGUGAACUUUCUGUCUGGUUCUGCCAAACACGGAAGAACAGGGCGAGGGGUGCUGGUAAUGAGGACCUCACAGACUUUCAGGGACAGAUGGACUACUGGGAGCAUUUUAUGCACAGUAGGUGUUGGUGCAGAGCUGGUGCUGACAUUUUGAAUGCAGAUUUGUGACGGUUUACUCUUUUGUUUUGCUUGUUGGACUAGUAUGUUUAUUAUUGUUUUCUUUUAUGUUUUAGAGUGUGUUGGUUCCAUUGUAAUAGUAGAAUAAAGGAUUCUUUAAAUCUCUCUCUCUCUUUCUCUCUCAAUGACAGAGUGUCGAGCGUGCAGAGCGCGGAGCUGAGAGCGAAAAGUGUUUUCCGUGUAGAUAUAUCUACUAUUCAAUGUGGAGAAUAUAGAGCGUUUGUGUGGAGUAGUUUUUUUAGAGUUUUGUGUUCCUGUAGUGCGCGUUUUUGCAGCCAAUCGGCUUGCGCUCGUCGGCGUGCUGAUCGCCGCCAUGGACCUGACCCGACUUACGCGGAAGCACGGCAUUAAAGUUCCGCCGGGUUUCUCCUGCUCGGUGGAGGACUGCAGCCUUGCCGUGGGAGAGAUGGUCGGUCACGGCAGCGUAAAGUCCGCCGCCCGCAUGAACAAGGCGGUGGUGAUGUACACAGAAAGUGUGGACAAAGCAAACAUGGUGGUGGAGAAGGGGAUCGUGGUAAAUGAGAUGUUCGUGCUCGUCCUGCCUCUCGCCACACUAGCGACCCAAGUCACGGUCUCUAACGUCCCCCCGUUCAUCAGGGACGAGAUGUUUACCAGAGAGCUGUCGGGACACGGGACGGUCGUGUCUCUCAAUGCAAUGCAGUGGACAAUGGGGCGGGUGUGGCCCAGCAGGUGGGGCAGGCGAGUGACUGAGU
Molecule: long non-coding RNA, 4023 nt
Organism: Gasterosteus aculeatus aculeatus (three-spined stickleback)
Lineage: Eukaryota; Metazoa; Chordata; Actinopteri; Perciformes; Gasterosteidae
Source: Ensembl